Molecule: ribosomal RNA, 784 nt
Filed under: uncultured Neocallimastigales
Lineage: Eukaryota; Fungi; Neocallimastigomycota; Neocallimastigomycetes; Neocallimastigales
Description: partial large subunit ribosomal RNA
Rfam family: Eukaryotic large subunit ribosomal RNA
Source: RNAcentral
UACGACUACAUAUCAGGCAUAUCAAUAAGCGGAGGAAAAGAAACUAACAAGGAUUCCCCUAGUAACGGCGAGUGAAGCGGGAAGAGCUCAAAUUUGAAAUCUUAAAGGGUUUCCCUUUACGAAUUGUAGUUUAAAGAAGUGUUUUCUGUUGGAGUUUCGGUAAAAGUUCUUUGGAAUAGGACAUCAUAGAGGGUGAGAAUCCCGUAUUUGACCGUUACUUUCCAGCUGUGUGAUACACUUUCAAAGAGUCGGAUUGUUUGGGAAUGCAGUCCAAAAUGGGUGGUAAAUUUCAUCUAAAGCUAAAUAUUGGCGAGAGACCGAUAGCGAACAAGUACCGUGAGGGAAAGAUGAAAAGAACUUUGAAAAGAGAGUUAAACAGUACGUGAAAUUGUCAAAAGGGAAGCGUUUGACACCAGUGUUGUUUAGUUGAAAAAUCAAUUAAAUAAUUUUUGAUUUUAAGUAGUAUUGACUUCAUCAGCUUGCUGCUUUCUUUUCGGAAAUUAUUUAAUGCACUUUUCAGUUAACAAGUCAACAUCAAUUUCUUUUGUUGUAAAAGGGUCAGUAGGAAGGUGGCUUUACACUUCGGUGUAAGUGUUUAUAGCCUUUGACUUCUGCAAUCGGAGAGAUUGAGGUCAUGCAGCGUAGAUCCUUCGGGGUUAGAUACAUUUGUGCUAAGCUUAUAGCUUUGUCAUAGACAACAUGUUGACUAUGAUUCAGUCAUGUAGCUUACUCGCUUGUAUGCUAUUUUACCUACGCUUAGGAUGUUGACGCGCGUGUGUGCGUG